CCUACGGGAGGCUGCAGUGGGGGAUAUUGGACAAUGGGGGAAACCCUGAUCCAGCGACGCCGCGUGAGUGAAGAAGUAUUUCGGUAUGUAAAGCUCUAUCAGCAGGGAAGAAAGAAAUGACGGUACCUGAGUAAGAAGCCCCGGCUAACUACGUGCCAGCAGCCGCGGGAAUACGUAGGGGGCAAGCGUUAUCCGGAAUUACUGGGUGUAAAGGGAGCGUAGACGGUAAUGCAAGUCUGGAGUGAAAGGCGGGGGCCCAACCCCCGGACUGCUCUGGAAACUGUGUAACUGGAGUGCAGGAGAGGCAGGCGGAAUUCCUAGUGUAGCGGUGAAAUGCGUAGAUAUUAGGAGGAACACCAGUGGCGAAGGCGGCCUGCUGGACUGUAACUGACGUUGAGGCUCGAAAGCGUGGGGAGCAAACAGGAUUAGAUACCCCUGUAGUC
RNAcentral lists this ribosomal RNA (443 nucleotides) under uncultured bacterium. RNAcentral's name for it is "partial 16S ribosomal RNA". It matches the Rfam family "Bacterial small subunit ribosomal RNA", at positions 338 to 795 of the family's 1533-position model. The record is from RNAcentral.